RNAcentral lists this microRNA precursor (81 nucleotides) under Homo sapiens (human). Its description in RNAcentral is "miTC13_pre". The record is from RNAcentral. Lineage: Eukaryota; Metazoa; Chordata; Mammalia; Primates; Hominidae.
AAAAUGAUUGCAGUUUUUGCCAUUAAAAGUAAUGGCAAAAAAAAAAAAAACUUUUAAUGGCAAAAACUGUGAUUACUUUUG